RNAcentral lists this ribosomal RNA (253 nucleotides) under uncultured Vampirovibrio sp. RNAcentral's name for it is "partial 16S ribosomal RNA". It matches the Rfam family "Bacterial small subunit ribosomal RNA", at positions 524 to 776 of the family's 1533-position model. Lineage: Bacteria; Bacillati; Candidatus Melainabacteria; Vampirovibriophyceae; Vampirovibrionales; Vampirovibrionaceae. The record is from RNAcentral.
GACGUAGGAUGCAAGCGUUGUCCGGAUUUAUUGGGCGUAAAGAGUUCGUAGGCGGUUUGUUAAGUCUGAUGUUAAAGACUGAGGCUCAACCUCGGGACUGCAUUGGAUACUGGCAGACUGGAGUAUGGUAGAGGUCAGUGGAAUUCCCAGUGUAGCGGUGAAAUGCGUAGAUAUUGGGAAGAACACCGGUGGCGUAAGCGACUGACUGGGCCAUAACUGACGCUGAGGAACGAAAGCCAGGGGAGCGAAUGGG